This is a long non-coding RNA of Carassius gibelio (silver crucian carp), 4241 nucleotides long. RefSeq lists it as uncharacterized. NCBI's taxonomy places the organism in Eukaryota, Metazoa, Chordata, Actinopteri, Cypriniformes, Cyprinidae. The transcript is spliced from 3 exons. The record is from RefSeq and is a predicted model, not a curated record.
UUGAAUGUGUGGGCGGAGGAUAAACGGGCAGCGAGGUUGAAUCUGUGGGAGGGAUAAACGGGCAGCGAGGUUGAAUCUGUUGGUGGAGAAUAAACAGGCAGCGAGAUUGAAUCUGUGGAUAAUGAUAAACGGGCACCGAUGUUGAAUCUGUGGGUGGGGAUAAACAGGCACCGAGGUUGAAUCUGUGGGCAGAGAAUAAACAGGCAGCGAGGUUGAAUGUGUGGGCGGAGGAUAAACAGGCAGCAAGGUUGAAUGUGUGUGUGGGCGGAGGAUAAACAGGCAGCGAGGUAGAAUCUGUGGGCGGGGAUAAACAGGCAGCGAGGUUGAAUCUGUGGGUGGGGAUAAACAGGCAGCGAGGUUGAAUCUGUGGCCGGGGCUAAACAGGCAGAGAGGUUGAAUCUGUGGGUGGGUAUAAACAGGCAGUGAGGUAGAAUCUGUGGGCAGGGAUUAACAGGCAGCGAGGUUGAAUCUGUGGACGUUAGAUUAACAGGCAGCGAUGCUGAAUCUGUGCUCGAGGAUAAACAGGCAGCGAGGUAGAUUCUGUGGCCGGGGAUAGUCUGUGGGAGGGGAUAAACAGGCAGAAUCUGUUACAUCCUAGACUCUUACAUUCCAGAAGAUUUUGUUUUGGCAGACUUGGUUCAAUAUAAGAUGUUCUUAGACUAACUACAAAGUUUUAUUACAUUUCUUAAUUAUAAGUGUAAAAAAAAUCUGUGUAUUUAUGUAGAAUUUUUUGGCAGGGCUAAACAGGCAGCGAGGUUGAAUCUGUGGGCGGGGAUAAACAAGCAGCAAGGUUAAAUCUGUGGGCAGAGGAUAAACAGGAUGUGCGGUAGAAUCUGUGGGCGGAGCUAAACAAGCAACGCGGUAGAAUCUGUGGAUGGGUAUAUGGUCAGCGAGGUUGAAUCUGUGGGUGGGGAUUAACAGGCAGCCAUGUUGAAUCUGUGCCCUGGGUUAAACGGACAGCGAGGUAGAAUCUGUGGCCGGAAAUAAUCUGUGGGAGGGGAUAAACAAGCAGCAAAGUUGAAUUUGUGGGUGGCGGAUAAACAAGCAGCGAGGUUGAAUCUGUUGACGGAGGAUAAACAAGCAGUGCAGUAGAAUCUGUGGGCGGGGCUAAACAGGCAGCGAGGUAGAACCUGUGGACGGGAAUAAAAACGCAGAGAGGUUGAAACUCUGGGCGGGGAUUAACAGUCAGUGAUGUUGAAUCUGUUGGCAGGGAUUAACAGGUAGCAUGGUUGAAUCUGUGGGUGGUAGGGGUGUAACGGUACGUGUAUUCGUACCGGAGCGUUUCGGUACAGGGCUUUCGGUAUGGUGCACGUGUGUACCGAAUGACCGAAUGCAAUAUUUUGUAUGCGUAACAUAUACAUUUUCGUGUUUUCAAACGAACAUAAUAAGUGGCAGAAGUCUCCACGUUCAGCGCAAAUCCCGCCCUGCAGCUGAUUCUAAGGCCGGUGACACAGUGGUUGUGUGGCGUGAGCGUGCGUUUCGGCUGCGUGUCAGUUGUGUGACGGCUGCUUCGUGUUUUCUGUGUCUUUACACACCAGAAUCGUGCCUGACGCGGCGCUGGCACACUGCUGCUACAGUGGGUGACAUAGAGUGAGGCAGACGAGGCUGACAGACGAGGAUCUUGUGUUCAUGACAGCAAUAUCUAUACUUCAUGAUGAGCAUAAAUCUAAAGCCUACUGAUAAAGGACACCGUCAACAGUAUUGACGGCAAAAUAGACUAUAUUUGACAGGUGCAAUAUGCCAGUGUGUCACAGGUCUAAAAACUGAAACUGUUGAUGCUGCAACUUUACAGUUUGGAAAAUUUAUAUAUAUUUUUUAAAUAUGAGCAGGCCUACAAGCUGGUAUUGGUAAUACACUGUAAUUAUAGUUAUUUAUUUAUAUUUUUGUUAAAGUUCAUUAUAUGAUGUUGGUUUGAGACUGAGAGUAUUUUAUUUAGUGGAGAACUUUGCAGCAGUAUUUUAUUACUUAUUCUUUUUUUAUUUUAUGUAUAUUUUAUUAAAAAGUAUUUUAAAAAGUGUAAACAAAUUGUAACAAAACAAGUUUAUAGUAAUAAGCAACCUGCAGUUUAAUGUUUGCAUUUCUUUCCCUUACUGUACCGAAAAUGAACCAAACUGUGACUUUAAAACCGAGGUACGUACCGAGCCGUGAUUUUUGCAUACCGUUACACCCCUAGUGGGCAGGGAUAAACAGGCAGCGAGGUUGAAGCUGUGGGUGGGGAUUAACAGGCAGCGAUGUUGAAUCUGUAGGCAGGGAUGAACAGGCAGCGAGGUAGAAACUGUGGGCAAGGAUAAACGGGCAGCGAGGUAGAAGCUGUGGGCGGGGAUAAACAGGCAGCGAGGUAGAAUCUGUGGCCGUGGAUAAACAGGCAGUGAGGUAGAAGCUGUGGCCGGGGAUAAACAGGCAUCAAUGUUGAAUCUGUGGGUGGGGAUAAACGGGCAGCGAGGCAGAAUCUGUGGCCGGGGAUAAACAGGCAGUGAGGUAGAAUCUGUGGCCGGGGAUAAACAGGCAGCGAGGUAGAAUCUGUGGCCGGGGAUGAACAGGCAGCGAGGUUGAAUUUGUGGGCGGGAAUAAACAGGCAGCGAAGUAGAAUCUGUGGGCGGGGAUAAAAAGGCAGCGAGGUAGAAUCUGUGGGCGGGGAUAAACAGGCAGCGAGGUAGAAUUUGUGGGAGGGGAUAAUCAGGCAGCGAGGUAGAUUCUGUGGGCGGGGAUAAAAAGGCAGUGAGGUUGAAUCUGUGGGUGGGGAUAAACAGGCAGCGGGAUAGAAUCUGUGGGCGGGGAUUAACAGGCAGCGAUGUUGAAUCUGUGGGUGGGGAUAAUCUGUGGAAGGGGAUAAACAGGCAGCGAGGAAUCUGUUGGCAGGGCUAAACAGGUAGCGAGGUAGAAUCUGUGGGCGAGGCUAAACAGGCAGCGAGGUAGAAUCUGUGGGCGGGGCUAAACAGGCAGCAAGGUAGAAUCUGUGGCCGGGGCAAAACAGGCAGAGCGGUACAAUCUGUGGCCAAGGAUAAACAGGAAUUGAGGUAGAAUCUGUGGCCGAGAAUAAACAGGCAGCAAGGUUGAAUUGGUGGGAGGGGUUAAACAGACCGUGAUGUCAAUCUUCUUAUGCGUAGUUGGUUCUUAUUCACACUGUUACGUCUGUGUUUUUCUCACACAACCUCUGUGAUAAUUCCAGAGCAAAUUACCUACCGUUUUUCAGCAAACUCAGUGAUCCUCUGAGAAAACUAAUCCCGUCCGAAUGCGAAUGUCUGUGAUUGCCGGUGAUAUUUUAUUUCACAACGUGUUUCCUUGUGUGUUUUGUCCAACGUGAAUUAUCGUAGAUGCUCUUACUGCGCGGAUGUUUGAUAUAUUUGCUUAGAGGCAAAUAAAUAAUAAUAAAAAAAUAAUACAAUUAAUAAAAUCAAGAGCAAGAUCGCGUAAACUGUUAAUACCAGCUAUUGUAAUAUCAGCAUCAGGUAAGAUUACUCACGUUCAUUUAUUUAACGUUACAUUUAAUUAAAAAAUAAAAAAUAAAUAAAAAGGAAAACAAGUUAAACUAAAGGAACCACACAUUAACAUGGUUUUACUAUACUAGCCAUUUAGUAUUUAUUGUGUAAUAAUACUAAGGCAAUCAUUCUGAAUGAAUGCAAUGCACGCAUACAGAGUGCGUGAUCUCUGUGACGCCCAGAUGCUCAAAUCAGACCCUCCCACCUCUGUAAUAAACACAGAGAUACUAGUCCCGUCCGAAUUGGUACAUGAAAAUCACAGACGUCAGGUGGUAAGAAUCGAAACUCAAACGUAGUUUAGAAAACUAGUCCCGUCCGAAUAGUGCUUUAGAGUCUUACAUUCAAGAAAAUUUUGUUUUGGCAGACUGGGUUCAAUAUAAGCUGUUCUUAGACUAACAACAAAGAUUUAUUAUGUUUCUUGAUAAUAAGUGUAAAAAAAUCUGUGAAUCUAUGUAGAAUCUGUUGGCAGGGCUAAACAGGCAGCGAGGUUGAAUCUGUGGGCGGAGAUAAACGGGCAGCAAAGUUGAAUCUGUGGGCGGCGGAUAAACAAGCAGCAAUGUUGAAUCUGUGUGCGGAGGAUAAUCAAGGAGUGCAGUAGAAUCUGUGGGCGGGGCUAAACAGGCAGCGAGAUAGAACCUGUGGACAGGAAUAAACACACAGCGAGGUUGAAUCUCUGGGUGGGGAUUAACAGUCAGUGAUGUUGAAUCUGUGGGCAGGGAUUAACAGGUGGCGAGGUUGAAUCUGUGGCCGGGGAUAAAAAGG